Long non-coding RNA from Chelonia mydas (Green sea turtle), 765 nucleotides. RefSeq lists it as uncharacterized. NCBI's taxonomy places the organism in Eukaryota, Metazoa, Chordata, Testudines, Cheloniidae. The record is from RefSeq and is a predicted model, not a curated record. The transcript is spliced from 3 exons.
CACACGACUGACUAAGGACAUCUCUGAGUGAGGCCAGCACAGAGUCUUGUGCAUUCUAUGAGUUCUAUGGUAAAAGAUAAACAAAAUCUCUCUGGACAGCCCCUUCUAAGAUCCUGUCGCUUUUGGGGCAGUUGGUGUUAACCUCAGGAACUGGAUCUUCACAGGGCGGAGACGGUCUCUUCCCCUGUGUUGGUACCGUGCUCAGCACAAUGGAAUCAUGAUCCUCACUGGGGACUCUCUGCACUGUCAUGAUACCAAGAAAGAAAGAUGGAUUCUGAGGAGAGCUCGGCAUGGUUGGAAGAAGAGAGAUUUUAGCCAAACCUUAUGCAAUCUGUUUUGUGCACUGCUGCCCAAAUCCACACUCACUGUCCAGCUUCUAGCUACAACUGUGCAGUGAGGAUUCCUGCUCUCUGCCUGGAGAAGAUGGUUGUGGGGACCAAGCUACCAGGAGAGGGGGAUUGGUGGAGAAGGUGAGAAAGAAGCAGAGUUUAGAUUGACAGAUGAACCAGUUUGGCUAAAAGAUGAUGCCCCUUCCCUAGAUGACCAGAUGUCCAGUUUUAAAGGGACAGUCCCGUAUUUAAGCCCUCCUGCAGGUGUCCUGACUUUUUCUUAAAAACAGGCAAAUUGUCCCGUACUUUCUGUCUUCACCACCAGUACUGAGGAUCCUGCUGCUGGCCAGAACCCUGCUCGCCAGCCACCCUCCCACCAGCGGACAGAAGCGACUUUGAGUGUACAAAAUGCAGGCUGGUCUCCAUAUUGGAAGAG